AACAACCCUAAAGAUAAAUAACAGACCAACCUCAGAGAUAACCCUGAAGAAGACAGAUGCCGCCACGUCAAGCCCGAACCGACCAGAGAGGGAAAAAUAGUAAUUUUUCCAACUCAACAUCAAUUCAACCUAAAUCACUACAAAAGAGGUCAUGCAGAACCAUAACGUCAAUCCCGAGUGAAAAUAACACAAGACAACUCAACGAAUGGAC
This 211-nucleotide long non-coding RNA is filed under the name Panax ginseng (ginseng). Its description in RNAcentral is "long non-coding RNA (PGIN_LNC017276)". Lineage: Eukaryota; Viridiplantae; Streptophyta; Magnoliopsida; Apiales; Araliaceae. The record is from RNAcentral.